AUGUGCCGGCAGCUGUGGGGGAGCAGGAGUGACAGUUCCUGGGCCACACCUCAUGAGAAGUUGUCCGUGGGCGCCGUGGCAGGACCCCUACAAGCCUUGGUGCCCAAGGCUGCCGGGGGAGACGCAGCACUGACUUCCUGUGGGUGGGAGCCGUCUUUGGGGCCAGGGUCAUUCUCCUUGGUCCCCCCCAGUGGACAGCACAGGUGUGGGGGGAUGAAGCCCCCCGGACAAGCCCAGACAAGCACAGGAGUGACCCUGCUGGUGUCCCUGGCAGGACCAGCACUUCCUGCAACAGCCCCGGGCUGCCAGCGCCCUGCCAGGAGCCAGCCUGGUUGCAACCGCUGUCCCCAGGGAGCCCCAGCGCCGUGGCGCCCACAGCACUCCUGCACCGCCACGCUGCAUCCGCAGCCCUCUGUGCCCAGGCCACCUCCACGUCCCCGAUCCGCCUGCGAAUCCACCACAUCAGCCCGCGGGAUGGAGCCUGUGGCUGACGGGGGAGGUGAGAAGAGCUUCAGCUACGUGCUCAGAGCGCCCAGCGGCGAUGGGUUUGAUGCGGUCAGCGUGCAGAUCCACACGUGUUGGGUGUUCCAAGACGAGGAGGACAGCGGCCAGGAGCGGGGCCGCCUGCCGGAAGGAGCCCUGCCGGGGAAGCAGCCGCAGCCCUCGGAGCAGAAGCCCCGGGCAUCCGCGGGCGGGGACGUGGAGUGCCGGCUGAGGAGCAGGAUCCGGGAGCUGGAGCUGUCGGAGAGGAGGCUCCGCGGGGAGCUGGAGCGGCUCGGCGGCCGCGUGGCCCGGGAGAGAAGCGCCGCGCUGCGCGCCCAGGAGGAGCUGGCAGCCCGGGUCCAGGAGCGGGAGCGCGCGGCCAGGCGGCUGCGGGAGCGGCUGCGGCGCAAGGAGGAGCUGCUGGGGCAGCAGGCGGCGGCCCUGGAGCGCUGCCGGUGGACGCAGCGGCGCCAGCUGGGCCUGGUGCGCCAGCAGGAGCGCGUCCUGCGGGCGCAGGUGCAGCAGCUGGAGCGCGACGUGCGGCGCCUGUGCCGCGCUGCGGGCCUGCUGCUGGCCCAGCUGGACAGCGCGGCCCCGGCGCCCUCCCUUGGCAGCCCCCAGGCCCUGGUGCCGGUGCACCCCACGGAAACCCCGGCGGCGGCGGCGGCGGCUGCGGCGGAGGUGCGCGCCCUGCGGGCAAGGGCCGAGCGCGGCGAGCGAGAGCGGGAGGAGGCGGUGCGCCGGCUGCGGGAACAGCGCGCCAUGGAGCGCCGGCUCCGUGCGCAGCUGGAGGAGCUGCGCUGUUGCGUGUUCGGGCUGCAGCUGUCAGAGAUUGACCUGCAGGGCCGCGUGGAGGACCUCGCCCAGCAAAACCGGACCCUGCGCCAGCAGCUCAGCGCCCGGGCGCCCACUGCCCAUCGCGGUAGCCUGCCUCCUGCGGCCGAGCCCGGCUUGGACGAACAGAUCCUUGUCCUCGUGUGCGGCUGCCCCUCAGCGCAGGGCCCGGAUGGGUCCCUCCACCCUGUGGACUUGACCUGGAUUUCAGAGCGUCUCCCAGCCGCCCCAGCCCCGCAACCUUCGGUCCUGGUGCAGACGGCCACGCUGCCUCCCUGGGGGUCAGCCGAGGACCCUGCCCCCCUGCCGCCACCGCUGCUCCUGAGACCUCCCCGAGAAGAGGUGCUGGCCGCUGGGCUCCCACCUGCUGCUGAAGCCGCCAGACACCCCGGCUGGGACUGCCCCCGGGCGAAGAGCCGUGACAGCCCCCUGUGCCAGGAGUCCCCACACACCUCCGAUCACCCGCUCCCCACGAAAGCGCCCAGAGACCCCGGAGAUGCUUGGCACGAAGAAGGAGGGGUCAGGAAGACCGUGAGCAGGGAGGAGGCAGCCCUGGGCAGCAAGUGCUGGCCGGGUCAGGAGAGCCGAGAGACCGUGACCUUGGGCAGCGGGCUUCGGGCCCCAGAGGGCGUGCAGGGCAAGAACGAGGCUGCCGUGUCCCAGUCUCGGCCGGAGUGUCCACUGCCUCUUCUGCAGGGAGAGGUCCCUGUGUCCCUGGAGGGUCCCGAAUCCCUGGGUGGGAAGGGAGGGGAGGAUGGAGGUGGUGGGGGUCUCCAAGGGGGCUGUCGCUGGAGGAAGCAGCGCCCUGCUCACCUGCACCGGGGCUCACAGGCCGGCGGGGAGGGACAGAGUGGCCAGGAGCAGUGGUCAGCACGAGGAGCCGCUGACGCUUGGGGACACUCUGCUUCGGCAGGAAGAACGCCCUGGGCGAGAGGAAGAAGAGAACGAGCAGACGGUAUCGCAUCAGGAAGUGUGGGGUUCGGCUGACAGGGGUGUCCCCCAGCAGGCUGACUCGGAGGGCUAUGAGGGCACGGUGACGCCGGCCGUGGGAGAACCGGGGUCGCCGCUGUGUCCCGGGUCGGCUGUGUCCACUGAUGGGGGCCACGUGUGGGCUCCCAGUCGGGGCGACAGGUUCUCUGUUGACAUAGAUGAGCUUGAACAGGCGAUGGAGGAGUGUCUCCAGCAGCUGUUCCUCCUGAGGCCUGAUGGGGGCGCUCGGGGACGGGGAACGCCCCCGUCUUCCAGGGGGAACCGCAGGGUGGCUGGGCAGGGUGCUGAUUCGCCGCAGGUUUUCGGGAACCAACGUUGGGAAGUUUGUUCUGCAGAGGCAACAGAGCCCCAGGCAGGCGGUGAAGAUGUUCAACAGGGACAGGCCAAGGUCCCGGGUCCCCGGCCGGUGCCUGGCUGGGAGGAAGCAAGCCCUGGCCCCCCAGAAGGGCCCUCAGGGUUGGGGGAGCUCCGGCCAUCCCCGCCCUGGAGAGCCCUGGAGAGGCUGAGGCUGAGGCUGCACCAGCUCCUCUGUGGACUGGAGAGAGACGGGAGCCAGGUUGUCCAUGGCAACGCCAAGCUUCAGGGGGAGCAAGACAGGUGCCACGAAAAAGUGCGCGCCCUGGAAAGAGCGCGAGCGAGAGAGGCGGCGGAGGCGGCCAGGCUCGCCCGGGCUAACCGCGCCCUGCUGGGAGACGCCGAGCGCUGGAAGCGGGAGCUGGACCAGUGCCUGCAGGUCAUCUCCGAGCUGGAAGACGGCAACGAGAGGAGCUACGGCAAGAUCCUGGAGCUCGAAGAGGAAAACGCGCAGCUCAAGGGGAGUCUGGGCGUGAUGCAGCGAGCCGCCCUGGAGAACCGGGAGCUCAAGGCGCUGGUGGCGGAGCUCGGGGCCGGCUACAAGGAGCUGACAGAGGAGCUGGCGCUGGGAUUCGAGCGCGUGACCCAGGCCUUGCAGAGCGAGCACGCGCACCUUCUACGCAGGGUCUGCAUCCUGGAGACG
Molecule: long non-coding RNA, 3304 nt
Organism: Oryctolagus cuniculus (rabbit)
Lineage: Eukaryota; Metazoa; Chordata; Mammalia; Lagomorpha; Leporidae
Source: Ensembl